RNAcentral lists this transfer RNA (65 nucleotides) under Dipodomys ordii (Ord's kangaroo rat). It matches the Rfam family "tRNA". Rfam says of the family: Transfer RNA (tRNA) molecules are approximately 80 nucleotides in length. Their secondary structure includes four short double-helical elements and three loops (D, anti-codon, and T loops). Further hydrogen bonds mediate the characteristic L-shaped molecular structure. tRNAs have two regions of fundamental functional importance: the anti-codon, which is responsible for specific mRNA codon recognition, and the 3' end, to which the tRNAs corresponding amino acid is attached (by aminoacyl-tRNA synthetases). tRNAs cope with the degeneracy of the genetic code in two manners: having more than one tRNA (with a specific anti-codon) for a particular amino acid; and 'wobble' base-pairing, i.e. permitting non-standard base-pairing at the 3rd anti-codon position. The record is from Rfam by way of RNAcentral. Lineage: Eukaryota; Metazoa; Chordata; Mammalia; Rodentia; Heteromyidae.
GGUGGCUCAGUGGUAGAGUGCUUGUCUUGCAUGCAUGGGGCCCUGGGUUCGAUUCCUCAGCACCA